Molecule: long non-coding RNA, 819 nt
Filed under: Bos taurus (domestic cattle)
Lineage: Eukaryota; Metazoa; Chordata; Mammalia; Artiodactyla; Bovidae
Description: long non-coding RNA NONBTAT000744
Source: RNAcentral
UGCAAAUUAGUUUGAUUCCAUCUUUGACUGACCUCUCUUGUCAGGAGUAUAAAAUAAGUAAUUUGCCUUAUGGUUAAUUUUUAAUAUUGUCAUAAUUUAAUUUUCUUUUUCAAGUUAUAUGUAAGUAGUGAGAGAUUUUUAAACUUGAGUUACCAUAUAAGUAGAGAAAUUAUAUUUCAUUGGGUAUAUAAUACAUUUUCUAACAUUUUCCCACCAGUAAGUAGAGUUUUCUAAGUUGACCAAACAUCAAAUCAGAAUCUAAACAGGAAUUACACUGAAAUAAAUUCACAUCACAGAAAAGGUUCUGUAUUUGUUUGAUCAUAUUGCAUGCAUAUAAUGCUUAUUUAGUAAUAACUGCUGUGUAUUAGAUAAAGAUAAAAAUAUAUGUAAGGAUUAUUUCUAAGGAAAGGCUAAUUUCCAAAACCUUGUAUUAUAAUCGCAACAAUAACAGGAACACCCUGUUUCACCUCUGAAUCAUAGAUCACCCAGCUUUGCAAAAGUCUGAUUUGUAGCAUUUUUCUUAGUGUACUUUGAAAUUAACUAUCCAGAAAGCUCAAGGAGAAAGAAAUAUUUUGAGAUGGUAUUUGAAGUACACUAAAGAUGAUCAUGGUUCUGAAUAUCUUCAGAAAAUCUUCAAAGAAAGUGAAAAUUAAAUCUUUAACAGUGCAGGGAGCUUGUACAUUGAAAAAUACAUUUAUAUGGCUUGGUUUCUUGACUAUGGCAAAACCCAAUUUGGAUUAAAUUUGACAGAAAUGAUGCAGUAGUAACAGCAAAGUUUUAAAGUAAAUUAAUGGUUACAAGUAGUUACAGAGUAGGUUG